RNAcentral lists this unclassified non-coding RNA (1397 nucleotides) under Hevea brasiliensis (rubber tree). The record is from RNAcentral. Lineage: Eukaryota; Viridiplantae; Streptophyta; Magnoliopsida; Malpighiales; Euphorbiaceae.
GGAAGUUGUAGGGGCUCUUUUUAGCACCGCAGUUCGCAGAAAGCUUUGGAAGCAAAACCAGUGACGGUGAAGUUCUGGUGUUGAAAGAAAAAUUGGAAAAUGGCUUCUCGUCGCUUCACUGUCCUUACACUACUUGCUUUGGUGAUAUUCUUCCUUUCGCAGGCUCGUGCUGUAAACGAGCUCGAUUAUCAGAGGAUCAAAGUCAAACCCUCGGCAUCGCCAUUUGAAUCAGCUCUUGUACUGCUACAGCAACAAAUCAAGCAAGUUCUCUUUUCUGCCCCUUUCUUUUUCGCUUUCUAUAUUAGCACACGCUCUGUUUGGUUGCCGAGAAAUUCUGGAAGAAUGAAAUCUAAAUUGAAAUCUUUGGUGCCAUACAUGCACAUAUAUGCGUUUAUAUUUGAAAAAUUCAAUGCCUUUUCUUGCCUCUUCAAUCUGCAGCUAUACUUUCCUCAAGAUUGAUCGUCUCCGCCGUGCAAUGACCCACCCCUCAUUCUCCGAAGAGAACAACAGGGCAUUGAGCAUUCUGGGUGUCAACGUCAUCGACACGUUUGUCUCUAUGCUUGCCCUUGGCAACGACAUUGAUAUCUCCUCCAAGGAACUCAACCGCCUUAUAUCUGAGAUAUCCAAAGUGGAAACGUCCUGUGCGGCUGAUGGGAUGCGGCUGGGAUUGCACAAGAUUGUUAGAAUUUCUGCCAAGACUAAUUCUACGACUCCCUCAGUGGUUUGUGGAGCUUUCAGGGCAACAUUUGGUGCUAUUGCUAUUGAUUCUGGCAAGUCUGAUGUUGCUGGAAGUGCUUUCUGGUAUGUUCAUACUGGUAAGGCUGAAAAAGCUCUUGCCUUGUAAGUUGAGCUUCCCGGUAUCUACUGCUUAUAGGGAAUGCGUGCUAAUGUGCUACUUAGGGCUUUCUAGAUUGGGCUGAAUAAUAAUGUGGUUUGUGAUCAGAACUUUGUUGUAUUGACUCUGUACAGUGCAGUUGUGUGUAAUGAAGUUUUAGGAAUAUCCUUCUUCUGCAAUCGCACAAUGAGUUUGGCUUGAAUGUCUUGAUAUUUAAGUGUCAUAACAAGGUAAAACUAACCUUUUAUUUGAAUGUUGUCCUUUGGAGUUGAUGGGAACGUGGUUUCCAAAGGAUUAUUUGAAUGUCGAUUUAAUUCAACAUUAGAAACAAGGAUAGGAGGAAUAUCCUUCUUCUGCAACAGCACAGUGAGUUUUUGAAACGUUAACAUGUAUCUAGUUUCUGAGGAUGAAGAUAGGAGUGAGUGUUGCUGUGCUUAUGUUGUUAAUCCAUGAUACGGACAGUGGGUAAUGCUGACCUCCAAGUAUGGUUCCUCUAUUCUGUUGCACAGGAUGAUCGGAGAAAGCAAGAAAUGCAUUCUUACAAGAAAGUGUGUUUUAGUUA